GACGAACGCUGGCGGCGUGCCUAACACAUGCAAGUCGAACGAUCCAGCACUCAAGGUUUACCUUGAAUGCUGGAUAGUGGCGGACGGGUGAGUAACGCGUGAGCAACCUGCCUUUUUGAGGGGGAUAACACCGGGAAACCGGUGCUAAUACCGCAUAACAUAUCGAGGUCGCAUGGCUUUGAUAUCAAAGGAGCAAUCCGCAAAAAGAUGGGCUCGCGUCCGAUUAGCUAGUUGGUGGGGUAAAAGCCUACCAAGGCGACGAUCGGUAGCCGGACUGAGAGGUUGAACGGCCACAUUGGGACUGAGACACGGCCCAG
RNAcentral lists this ribosomal RNA (317 nucleotides) under uncultured bacterium. Its description in RNAcentral is "bacterial SSU rRNA". It matches the Rfam family "Bacterial small subunit ribosomal RNA", at positions 28 to 334 of the family's 1533-position model. The record is from RNAcentral.